Molecule: RNA transcript, 2874 nt
Organism: Salvia hispanica
Lineage: Eukaryota; Viridiplantae; Streptophyta; Magnoliopsida; Lamiales; Lamiaceae
Gene name: putative late blight resistance protein homolog R1A-3
Source: RefSeq, a predicted model, not a curated record
UAUGGCUUAUGAAGCUGUGGAAUCCCUGCAACAAACCUUACUCAUAAUCCUUGAACGCGACGAUGAUGAUCUUAUCACUCCUAGCGUUGAACAACAAACUAUAUCCAUCCUCUACAAAGCUGCUGCCUUGCAGUUUAAUCUCAAACAUUUUCAUUUUCCAGAAAAAGAAAUAAUAAGGGAGGUAGCAGAUACAACAGAAGAGAUUAUUCUGUAUCUCUUCUCCCCACAAUAUCUAUCAGAUCGUGGAUUCAUACACCCAAGUUUCAGACUUUCAAAUCAGUUGGAGGAAUUGGCUGAGGAGCUCGACUCAACUGUUGGAUAUGUGGUUGACUACGUACGGCAACGGAGUGAUUCUGCACUCGAGAGUCAAGUUGUAGAUCCAACGGAGAUGAUUGCAAUAAGUACAAACAGGUUGAGGAGAUUAGCGGGUAUAAUAAAGUCAAGAUGCAGAGAAUUAACAGAUGAAGAUUCACCAUCAAUCAUGACCAAGGAUCCUGUGGUUGUGGUUGGUUUUGAUGAAGAUAUACGACAGAUGAUGGACCGAAUAACUCCAUAUACAUCCUAUCCCGGCCUACAAAUCCUCCCUGUUGUCGGAAUGGCAGGCAUUGGUAAGUCCACACUUGCUCGACAUAUUUAUAAUGAUCCACUGAUUAAUCGAGUUUUUUAUGCUCGAGGUUGGGUCACAAUAUCACAAUAUUAUAGUAUAUCAAGUAUUCUCUCACAAUUACAAGCUUCACUCAAUAUAAAAAUAGACCGAGUUGGAAGGAAUUCAUCCAAAGGAAUCGAUGCAGAGGAACUUAUAAUUCUCAAAUUCUUAUGGGAGAAGAGGUAUCUCAUAUAAUAGAUGACGUGUGGAGUGCAAAAGCGUGGGAUGAUGUACGGAAGCUAUUUCCUGAGAAUCAUCGUAGAAGCCGGAUCAUAUUAACCACAAGGCUAAUGGAUGUGGCUACUUAUGCUACUAGCAGUUGGAGCCCUGUUCAUAUGAUGCGUUUCUUGGAUGACGAACAAAGUUGGCGUUUGUUCCACCACAAGGUUUUCGGAGAUCAAGAUUGUCCACAUGAGUUACGUAGUAUUGGGGAAAAAAUAGUAAAAGGAUGUGGAGGACUGCCCCUCUCAAUUGUUAAUGUGGCAAGACUUUUAUCGAGGAUUCCUAGAACUCCCAAGUUGUGGCACCAAAUUGAUGUAAAUGAUGGGCAGUUAGGAUCAAUAUUGUCUUUGAGUUACAACCACUUGCCUCCACACUUGAGGAAGUGUUUCUUGUAUAUGGCAUCUUUUCCUGACGAGUACGAGGUCCAUGCCUCUGAACUCAUCAAACUUUGGAUAGCUGAGGGCUUUUGGGAACAUCAAUUUGAAUUUGAAAGGCAAGAACUGGUGGCGGAGAGGUGCUUGAAUGAUCUGAUUGGGCAAAGUCUAGUUUUGGUCACUAGCCGCAAUAUUGAUGGAAAAAUCAAAAGUUGCAGGCUGCAUAUUAUGGUGCGAGACUUUUGUGUGAGACAGGCCGGGCGAGAGAAGUUCCUUCUUUCUGAUAUGGACUACCUCCCUACUCCUAUCUUGAGAAGACAUUUUCUUCCACAAGUACUCCAAAAUCAUCAUCGCAUAAGUGUUAGUUGGCAUGAUCUACAUCUUAGAGACUCUACACAUAGCUCAUGCACCACUUCUAUCAUAUGCAUCCCACAAAGAGGGUAUAUGCCCAAAUGCAAUGUAGCGCACUUUACUUCACUUAGGGUUCUUCAUGUUUUACGUAGAAAUGAUCAUUCAUAUUGGGAGCUUGGUCAAGUGUUUGAACUGAUUAAUCUCACUUACAUUGCUUCCAGUAUUCCUGAUAGUAUUGUCCCUCCAGCUAUAGCAAAGCUUCAGAAUCUGCAGACUUUAAUUAUUUAUAGAUCUGAUGUUCGUUUGCCAGUAGAGAUUUGGAGUCUGAGGCAAUUGAGACAUCUUAUCGCCUUCUCAUUUCAACCUUUACCCCUUCCCGAAAGAGUAACUCUUUCUCUAGUAAACUUGCAAACGCUUUCCAUGGCAAUAGACUUUGUGUGCACUGUUAAGAUGGUGAAAAUGAUUCCCAACAUAAAAAAGUUGGGAAUAUGUUACUCUGGAACGAAGUUUGGUGUUGGACAUGAUUAUACUGACAAUCUUAUAUAUCUGCGUCAAGUUGAGAAGCUGAAAUUGGAGAUUUAUGGUUCAUAUGUGCCACGUGUGACUUAUUUACCUUUGUCGCUGAAAAAAUUAGAACUGAGUGGCCGGUGGAUUUCUUGGAGAGAUAUGACGAUUGUUGGUUCAUUGGCUAACCUUCCAAGUGUUGAAACUAAAGAACUAUGCUUGCCAUGGGGAACACUGGGAAACCAUUGAGGGGGAAUUUGGUAAUUUGAUACUCCUGCUUAUCGAUGAAUCAAAUCUGCAGCGUUGGACAGCUAGAAGUAGCCACUUUCUGAGGCUCAAGUGGCUAAUGCUUCAUCAUUGUCCAUACUUGGAUGAGAUUCCACAUGAUUUUGGAAAUAUUCAUCCACUUAAACUGAUUGAGAUCGAUAAUCACAAUCAAUCUCUUUUGUACUCGGCAAACAAAAUACAAUAUAUACAUAGGAAAGAUCAUAAAAAUGAUCCCUUAAAGGUAGUUGUGAAGUGAUCUUGAUCCUCUUUCAUACAUGACCGUGUCCAUCAUACAGUAUGCUGAGCUUUAAGGAGGUGGCUUAUCAGAUAUUCUACUGAUGAAAAAGGCAAAUAAAUAAAGGUGCAAUGGUUGUUGAGUGUUGAUGUUUGUUUAAGUAUGAAUGGUUGAUAAAAUUUGGUACUUGUUUCCAAGCUGGUUUCAUAUAACUGUGAAUGAUAAAUAUUGUGUAACAAUGUGUAGUAGUGUUUCUCAAAGUUAAAUGUUUGUUU